Molecule: ribosomal RNA, 379 nt
Filed under: uncultured eukaryote
Lineage: Eukaryota
Description: partial 18S ribosomal RNA
Rfam family: Eukaryotic small subunit ribosomal RNA
Source: RNAcentral
CAAUAGCGUAUAUUAAAGUUGUUGCAGUUAAAAAGCUCGUAGUUGAACUUCAGACCUGGCCGGGCGGUCUACCUCGCGGUAUGUACUAUCUGGCCGGGUCUUACCUCUUGGUGAGCCGGUAUGCCCUUCACUGGGUGUGCCGGGGAACCAGGACCUUUACCUUGAGAAAAUUAGAGUGUUCAAAGCAGGCCUAUGCCCGAAUACAUUAGCAUGGAAUAAUAAAAUAGGACGUGCGGUUCUAUUUUGUUGGUUUCUAGAGUCGCCGUAAUGAUUAAUAGGGAUAGUUGGGGGCAUUCGUAUUCAGUUGCUAGAGGUGAAAUUCUUGGAUUUACUGAAGACGAACUAUUGCGAAAGCAUUUGCCAAGGAUGUUUNCAUUAA